This is a non-coding RNA of Ictidomys tridecemlineatus (thirteen-lined ground squirrel), 417 nucleotides long. NCBI's taxonomy places the organism in Eukaryota, Metazoa, Chordata, Mammalia, Rodentia, Sciuridae. The record is from RefSeq and is a predicted model, not a curated record.
CAAGAGAAAAGAACGGACAGAGGGAGCUGAGGCUACAGAGGAUCCCCUGUAGGAAGAACUACCAUCCCAAGGAGCUCUAGAAAUGGUACCCUGCUCAGAAGUAAGGCAUGACUGACUGUCAGCACCCCUGAGGGGCAAGGCCAGGCCAGCUCAGAUCAUCCAGAGUGCUCAGUCCCACUGAGUCAAGCAGCUAGAACUCCAUAAGGACUAUGCCCUGGGGAUCCUCCUUACAGAAGAGCCACACACACAAGUCACCACACGUUUGACAGAAACCAACUGGGUGACUACAUCCACAGAAAUAAGAAUACAUUUGAAAUUUGAAUUAAGAUUAAUAUCUUCAAAGGGAUCUGAGACGACAGACUAUUAUAAAGAAAGUUAAGUGUUCUGCAAAUUAAAGAGAUGCCUAAAAAAAAAAAA